GACGAACGCUGGCGGCGUGCUUAACACAUGCAAGUCGAACGGAAAGGCCCAAGCUUGCUUGGGUACUCGAGUGGCGAACGGGUGAGUAACACGUGGGUGAUCUGCCCUGCACUUCGGGAUAAGUCUGGGAAACUGGGGCUAAUACCGGAUAGGACGAUGGGUUGGAUGCCAUUGGGUGAAGCUUUUACGGUGUGGGAUGAGCCCGCGGCGCGUCAGCGGGUUGGUGGGGUAUUGGCCUAUCAAGGCGCCGACGGGUAGCCGGCGCGAGAGAGGGUAGGGGCACACUGGACCUGGGAUACGGGCCCCAGUCCUACGUGAGGCAGAAGUGGGGAAUAUUGCACACUGGGCGCGGGAGUGAUGCAGCGAGGCCGCGUGGGGGGUGACCGCCUUCGGGUUGUAAGCUCCUAUCUCUAGUGAUAAGGCGAUUUUGUGACGGUACCUGGAGAAGAAGCACCGGCUAACUACGUG
Molecule: ribosomal RNA, 468 nt
Filed under: uncultured bacterium
Lineage: Bacteria
Description: partial 16S ribosomal RNA
Rfam family: Bacterial small subunit ribosomal RNA
Source: RNAcentral